AACGAACGCUGGCGGCAUGCCUAACACAUGCAAGUCGAACGAGACCUUCGGGUCUAGGGGCGCACGGGUGCGUAACGCGUGGGAACCUUCCCUUAGGUUCGGAAUAACUCCCCGAAAGGGGUGCUAAUACCGGAUAAUGUCUUCGGACCCAAGAUUUAUCGCUGUUGGAUGGGCCCUCGUUGGAUUAGGUAGUUGGUAGGGUAAAAGCCGACCAAGGCGACGAUCGAUGGCUGGUUGGAGAGGAGGAUCAGCUGCACUGGGACUGAGACCCGGCCCAGAAUCCUACGGGACGCAGGAGUAGGGAAUAUUGGGCAAGGAGCGCAGGCCUGAUCAAGCAACGCCCGGUGAGAGAUCCAUGCGUUAGGGUUCUACAGCUCUUUUACCCGGGACGAUAGUGACGGUACCGGGAAAAUAAGCACCGGCUAACUACGUG
This 433-nucleotide ribosomal RNA is filed under the name uncultured bacterium. RNAcentral describes it as "partial 16S ribosomal RNA". It matches the Rfam family "Bacterial small subunit ribosomal RNA", at positions 29 to 507 of the family's 1533-position model. The record is from RNAcentral.